AGAGUUCAUGAGAUGGAAGAGCAACUUAAAAAGUCAAGAUCUGCUCUAACAAAAAAGGAAGAUGAACAUGAAAAACUGAACCAAAGUAUUCAAGCCAUUUCCCAACAACAAAAUUACAAUGCAAG
Poecilia reticulata (guppy) is the source of this 125-nucleotide non-coding RNA. The record is from RefSeq and is a predicted model, not a curated record. Lineage: Eukaryota; Metazoa; Chordata; Actinopteri; Cyprinodontiformes; Poeciliidae.